CUCUGGCCGUCGAUUUCGCUCUCUUGUUGGUAUUUCCUAUUUGAACCACUUGAGGUGAGUAACAUACCUUACAUGUUCAGGACGUUCCAUUUUGUCUUGUGUGAUUGCAUCCCUCGCCUUCGACUCGAGCUGUAAACGCCACAAUUGACAAAAUAAAAAGUUCUAAACAAGGACAUAAUCUACUAUAGCUGUAGUGAACGACUUCCUUUCGUGUUCUAGUAGAAAUCGUUUUUUGUUUAAAU
Bradysia coprophila is the source of this 242-nucleotide long non-coding RNA. The record is from RefSeq and is a predicted model, not a curated record. Lineage: Eukaryota; Metazoa; Arthropoda; Insecta; Diptera; Sciaridae.